ACCAUUACUGUGUUAAUUUAUUUCUUUCCUUUCUUUUCAUCACCUUUUCUUCUUCUUGUUCUUUUAUUUCUGGGAUUUUGUUCUUGCCACACCGCUGCGCUCACAGCCAAUCUCAUCUCUCUUCUCUCUGCUACGAUAAAUUUCAUCUAUCAAACUGAGAUUAUUAUCUCACAUACACAUCUCUCUCAGCUUGGUGGUUGGAUUAGCUAAAAGUCUAUGUUGCUAGAAAAAGGAAAAAGGAGAUAGUGUUGUUCUUUUUCUUGAAAGAAAGAAGAUAUUGCUAUAUGCCGAUCGGGAAGAAGAAAGUCAUACAGAUCUUGCAAAAUUGGUUUGGAUUGAUCGGCUAGGGCUUGACAUGCGUAUUUGGUCUCCUCGGAAUGGCUGCAUCUUGGGUUGAACUCUUUAUCUUCAAAGGAUCUUAGGCCAUCCAAAUUGAGUUUUAUAAUCAUGUACAAGGCUUUGCUUGUGAUUAUACCCGGACCACGCAGAGAGAUUACAAUUUAGAGAUUGUAAUAUCUCAAAAUUGAAAUUUGUGAGCAUCUAGUUUUGAGAAACUAGAUUGAGUAUGAUAUUCUCUCUCCUCCAUCAGUGAGCAUCUAAGCACAUUGUGCCUCACCCCACUAGCACCGUGUCGACAUACCUCCAGCGAAUCAAACCCGGUCUCCGAGCGGUUCCGUCACCCCGGCGAGCGACUUCACGCGCCAACCCAGAGACACCCAGAUCUUUGUCAUCAACCCCAGUGCCCAGUUACCAGCCUCGUUUCUUGGCGGCGACUUGUCGCAUGACUCGCAUCUAGUUCGGUGACAUAACUUAUCUUGGCAGCUCUCGAUCCGCACCGAAUAUCGAUGAAUUACCAGCCUUCUCCGGUCAAAUCAUGAGUCUAGGAGGGUAUGGGUAUGUUU
Fragaria vesca subsp. vesca is the source of this 902-nucleotide RNA transcript. RefSeq lists it as uncharacterized. Lineage: Eukaryota; Viridiplantae; Streptophyta; Magnoliopsida; Rosales; Rosaceae. The record is from RefSeq and is a predicted model, not a curated record. The transcript has 2 exons.